Molecule: ribosomal RNA, 449 nt
Filed under: uncultured bacterium
Lineage: Bacteria
Description: bacterial SSU rRNA
Rfam family: Bacterial small subunit ribosomal RNA
Source: RNAcentral
UCGAGAAUCUUUCGCAAUGGGCGCAAGCCUGACGAAGCGACGCCGUGUGAACGAAGAAGGCCUUCGGGUUGUAAAGUUCUUUCGCUAGGGAACAAGAGAUAGUGAAUAACACUCAUUAGAUUUGAUGGUACUUGGUAAAGAAGCACCGGCUAACUCCGUGCCAGCAGCUGCGGUAAUACGGAGGGUGCAAGCAUUGAUCGGAAUUACUGGGCGUAAAGGGCGCGUAGGCGGCUGGGAAAGUCGGGUGUGAAAUUCCAAGGCUCAACCUUGGAGCAGCACACGAAACUGUCCAGCUAGAGUGCAGUUAGGGAAAACGGAAUUCCACAUGUAGCGGUGAAAUGCGUAGAUAUGUGGAGGAACACCGGUGGUGAAGACGGUUUUCUGGGCUGUAACAGACGCUGAGGCGCGAAAGCAUGGGGAGCAAACAGGAUUAGAUACCCCUGUAGUCC